GUGAGGGUUGCGCGUCAAUUAUUCCGCCAUCCGUUUGCAGCUUUUGGCAAAAGGAGUUGGUCGGAAUUGGAAAGCCGAGACGACUCGUCUCCUUUGACCUCCCCAGUUGCCUUCCUGCGCCUUCGUUUCCGAUUGCUUUCUCCCCUACUCAAUUUCUGCGUCUAUUUCCCUUUUCGUCGCUCGAAUUCAAGUUCAUCUUCACCUUUUUCAUGGUUUCAUGUUUACUGUACCCUGUUAUCGCCAUUGCUUCCGCAGCCAUGCUCUGCUUUCUUUGACUGAAAAUGCCCCCUCCCACUUCGCCACGAAACCUCUGCACACCAUUACUACAUACGCCUCAUCUGCUCUAUUUUCCUCUUAUUUAAAUCAAUAACUUAUUACUACCUUCACAAACCCCCGUUUCAUCGUCCCUGAUGUAUCCAACCUGGACUUGAAUCAAUCUAGCAGCUUUUCUUUUUCCUGAUUUUUGUUGUGGGGAGGUGAAAAUCUGUUACAAAACAUCUACUCAACCGUAAAUUUUAUUGGACAACGUGAACAAAAACGUUUUUUUCUUCGAAAUUCAGAUUGUGUUAUUGUGAUUGUCUCAGGUUUCAUCGGUACGUUGUUUUAUAGGACUUGGAAUCUUGACUGGCGAUCGAUAAUCCAACUCUAUAUGCUUACUAAUGUCGAAUUAGGGCUUCAUUUCAGUUUCAUGAAUCGUUAAGUCCUGAUUUUAUUUGAUACAUCGUUAACUGCGAGGAUGGGUUUAACAUUGUACCGUCUUAGGCUGCCGCAUGUUCUAGAGGUUCAUUUUCAAAAUCACUUUGUAUUUUAUAUUGUUCAUUAGGUCCCGACCUACCUUGUAAUUAUUUCAUCCGACCUAUUUAAAUUCUAAACUUAUUGUUUUAUUCUUGUGCAAUUACUUCUCGUGUCUAACUGACAUUAUUGGGUGCAAUUUGUUUUACCCUUUACGAGAAAUUCAAGUGCUUUCACUUUAGUGAAAAGUGAUUAUUCAUGGAGAUUAGAGCCAAGACAACACCCACGUGGAUAUUGGAAUUGUCUCUUGGGAUGCUGUCAUGUAACCCACAAGUAAUAUUACUCUUUACAAUUUCCUUUAGUGUUCACUUCUGUAAUAUUUCUUGGAAAGAGAUAUGCCUCGGGUCAAUAAAUGCACUUAAUCAUAAACUUCUAUCCUAUUUGGCUCCUUGUAUUCUAGAAGUUUUUAGAGCCAUUAGACCAGUCGUGCAUUCUAUCCUUCUGAACUUUAAUCAAACUAAACUAAAACCGAACUGUUUGAGGGGUUAAUUUUAGCUGCUUUAUAUCUUGAAUCUUCCAAUGCAAAGAGAGUCCGCAAGACAGUUUCAUGCGUUCCUUUCUUUUAAAAUUAUCUUUUUUCGACAAAGAUCUCUCGUGCCAACAUAUGGAUAGGGUUAAUAUUGCACAGGUUAAGCUAUAUUAAUAAAUGGAGUCACAAGAUCAGUAGUGUGGCAAAGGAUAUGGUCAUGUAGAACUAUAAUGUGUUGGUGACUUGAAGAUGUAAUCAGUUAAAAUUCAGGUUCCCAUGAGAUUGAAAAAAACAGAUUGAGAAGAAUGGGGGUGAUUUAGGACGUUAAUUACUUGCUUCCAUCCAUCGGACUCGCGAGAAGUGGUUCCUGAAUCUGCUUCUCCUCGGUUUUAAACAACUCGUGCUUCUUGGAAAACCAAAAAGAAAAGCAAAUGAUAAGUGGCUGAUGAACUCAUUCUUGUUUUACCUUUCUUUUGAAGCCACUUCGAACUCUUGUCUUUUCUUGGUCACCUUUAAGGACUCUAAAAAUGUCGAUAGGAGUUACUGAUUUAAGAUCUGUUUGUAUCUACCCUUCUAAACUUCUAGGGAUAUAGCAUACGAAGAAUUUGAAGGACAAACCAGUUCAUAUGAUCCUAGAAAGAAGGAGGUAAUGGCGCAUGAACUAUGAAAUGGCACAUGUGCAAGUUCAGACAGAAAUUUUUUAGUCCUGAAGGACCUUCACCUGCCAUUACUGGUCAAGCUGGGUGACGUGCAAAUUGGUUUGUUGAAGUAAAUGUGAAGUUCGGAUGAAUUCUCAGUAUCAUUAACAUGUUUGUUGAGAUAUUUGCGAUUUCCUUGAUUUCUUAGUUUAUUCUUUUUACUUUUAAAUCUGACCUGCCAGCUUUUUCGAUCUGCGACUUUUACAUCGUUUCCUUGAGGCACAUAGCGAGUCAAAGUGAUGAUGAACGGAGGUUCAAUUUUGGCAUAUAGACUUUUUGACUUCCAUUGUUCCACAUUCUUAUCUGGACCUGAAGUUCAAGUUUUGAGUCAUGGUUCCAGUCUCAUGUAAACAGAUAACUAACUCCUUUGUUUUAGUUUUCUGUAACUUGAUUGGCACCAUUAUUAUGUACAUACUACAGGAUUGGAAUUCAUCUUUUAGUCUUUUAGGCUGCCGCUUAUUUAUUGAAACUCUUGAUAUACUUUUUUAUUGGCUAGAUAUUUGUAGUUUCGUGCCACAGACAGAUGAUGGCUGUAUGGGUGCCCAUUUUUGUAGUAGUGAGAACAGAAUAGUAAGUGCGACUUUGAUUAAAAUUAUUUCAUGAGUAAAAUAAACCGACAUAUUGCAUAUAUGAUUUCUAGUUUUCCACAUAGCUUUGGCUAGAACAUCAAUCUUUUAGAAAUCAAGAAAAGACGGUACAACUCGUCCCUUCCAAAUUAGUUCAUGUUUUUAUGAUGUGAUCAUUAAAAUUUUCUUGUGUUUGCAAAGACACGGAGGGAUGUGGUUUUUCUUCAACAAACAAUAUGUUGACUUAUCUCUUCGAGGUAACUAUUUUUGCUAAUUGCGAGAAAUUGAGGAUAAUGAACAUCAGAAGGUUAGGUAUUAGAAUGCACUUUUUUGUUAUUCCAUUCUUUAGUUUUCGCUAAAAAAAUUCGGAUCUUUUAUGGUAUAAUCCAAAAUACUACCUAUUAUAUGCAUCAUUUUUCUAAUUCUUGCAUAAAAUAUUUGGUGUAUAAAAGAAUCUCAAUAUGCUUUUGUGAAUUAUAGUUUUAGACUUCUUUAUAAGUUUCCACCACGGAGCAGCCCGAUGGUUUCAAUUUCUCAUAACUUAAUACCAGGUUAACAGAGUUGACUCGUUGCCACUGCUACGUUUAUUCAUAAUCCUCCUCGUUUAUGAGAAUGUUUCUGGUACAAGAGUAAAUAUAUACUUGUAGUUACAUAGAGGCAAACUUAUGAGUUGAAUUAGGCCUAGAGAUGAGUAUACCUAACCUAUUGAUUUGAAUAAUGGCAUUAGCUGAACUAACCCCACCCAACCCAAUCAAUUAAGUUGAGGUUGAAUGAAGUCAAGCUAAAGACAAGAGUUGAUGAACCAACCUGACUUUGUUAGACUCUGGCCCAAACCAUUUAAUGAGUUGUAUUCAUCGUGUACUUUUUGGGUCAUUAUGGCCAACAUUGAGGGUUGUUUGGCUUUUCAAAUGCUUAUUGAAAAAUCAUUCCAAACAGGUGUUAAGGCACAUACGCACUGGCAGUCUCUCCUUUCCACAUGUCAACUCAAGUGUUGUAGCAGCGUAGGAAAACCCCAUAACUUAAGUUUUGAUGCAUUUUAAUUAAUCUAAACUUCUGUGAGGGUGUUGCAGGUAUUGAAAAUACUGUGUUGUACUUGCACAGGGCUGAGAUGAUGUAUGAUGUAUUGGUGCAAGAAAUAUCAAUAUGGAUUUAACAGUGUUAUCAGCCAGCCAUCAGUUCAGGAAAUUGAAAUGGGGGCCAGCGGAAGAAUUGUGCCUUAUGUGGAAUUGAUAGAAACGUUACCCCUCCGGCUCCCAAAAAUUUAUUGGAAUUGCGAACGCCAAACUAUUUUUAACGCUGAUAAAUCAAGACUUGUCUUAUUAUUGCUGAGAUUUGUAAUUAAAUUCCUUCAAUUUUAAAAAUCAAGUAAACUUAGGAUGGGAGAAUUUGAACCCAACACCUUAUGUCCUCGAAAAUAUAUAAGCUCAUGUUGGCAAAUUCUUACUCUCACCUAUCGUUGAAUUGAAUCCUUGAAGUAGAAAAAUUAUUUUCAAAUAAAAGUGCGGGCAAGAGACUUAAUUAUGGAUGACUAA
Long non-coding RNA from Cucumis melo (muskmelon), 4057 nucleotides. RefSeq lists it as uncharacterized. The record is from RefSeq and is a predicted model, not a curated record. The transcript is spliced from 6 exons. Lineage: Eukaryota; Viridiplantae; Streptophyta; Magnoliopsida; Cucurbitales; Cucurbitaceae.